This 309-nucleotide ribosomal RNA is filed under the name uncultured bacterium. RNAcentral describes it as "bacterial SSU rRNA". It matches the Rfam family "Bacterial small subunit ribosomal RNA", at positions 30 to 339 of the family's 1533-position model. The record is from RNAcentral.
AUUGAACGCUGGCGGCAUGCCUUACACAUGCAAGUCGAACGGUAACAGCACUUCGGUGGCUGACGAGUGGCGAACGGGUGAGUAAUACAUCGGAACGUGCCCGAGAGUGGGGGAUAACGCAGCGAAAGCUGUGCUAAUACCGCAUACGAUCUACGGAUGAAAGCAGGGGAUUCGCAAGGACCUUGCGCUCAUGGAGCGGCCGAUGGCAGAUUAGGUAGUUGGUGGGAUAAAAGCUUACCAAGCCGACGAUCUGUAGCUGGUCUGAGAGGACGACCAGCCACACUGGGACUGAGACACGGCCCAGACCCU